AUACCAUGGUGAGGGCAUCUUUGCACCAGCAACUUAAAUCACUCUCAAGCUUCGUGAAAACUUCCUCCUUCCAUCUGUUUAAAUGUUGCGAUCUCUCUUCUCAGUUG
This is a non-coding RNA of Gossypium raimondii (Peruvian cotton), 107 nucleotides long. The record is from Rfam. NCBI's taxonomy places the organism in Eukaryota, Viridiplantae, Streptophyta, Magnoliopsida, Malvales, Malvaceae.